ACCGCAACAACUGACAAAAACACACCAACUAUGAGAGUGCCCACAAGAACUGCUAAUUCUGUCCCCCGGAUUUAAUCACCCGGCUCUCAUAUUAUAC
RNAcentral lists this transfer RNA (97 nucleotides) under Crocodylus palustris (marsh crocodile). RNAcentral's name for it is "tRNA-Ser". Lineage: Eukaryota; Metazoa; Chordata; Crocodylia; Crocodylidae. The record is from RNAcentral.